RNAcentral lists this ribosomal RNA (491 nucleotides) under uncultured bacterium. Its description in RNAcentral is "partial 16S ribosomal RNA". It matches the Rfam family "Bacterial small subunit ribosomal RNA", at positions 29 to 507 of the family's 1533-position model. The record is from RNAcentral.
GUGAACGCUGGCGGUAGGCCUAACACAUGCAAGUCGAACGGCAGCACCGUAAGAGCUUGCUCUUACGGGUGGCGAGUGGCGGACGGGUGAGGAAUACAUCGGAAUCUACUUUUUCGUGGGGGAUAACGUAGGGAAACUUACGCUAAUACCUCAUACGACCUACGGGUGAAAGCAGGGGAUCUUCGGACCUUGCGCGAUUGAAUGAGCCGAUGUCGGAUUAGCUAGUUGGCGGGGUAAAGGCCCACCAAGGCGACGAUCCGUAGCUGGUCUGAGAGGAUGAUCAGCCACACUGGAACUGAGACACGGUCCAGACUCCUACGGGAGGCAGCAGUGGGGAAUAUUGGACAAUGGGCGCAAGCCUGAUCCAGCCAUACCGCGUGGGUGAAGAAGGCCUUCGGGUUGUAAAGCCCUUUUGUUGGGAAAGAAAAGCAGCAGGUUAAUACCCCGCUGUUCUGACGGUACCCAAAGAAUAAGCACCGGCUAACUUCGUG